Microcebus murinus (gray mouse lemur) is the source of this 961-nucleotide non-coding RNA. Lineage: Eukaryota; Metazoa; Chordata; Mammalia; Primates; Cheirogaleidae. The record is from RefSeq and is a predicted model, not a curated record.
AGGCCCCUUCCCCCAGCGGGUUGUUUUCUGCCUGAGGGAGCGGAAGGGCCGCGCUGUGUCGUCAGGGAAGAAGGGAGAACGGUCCUCAGCGUCUGCCCCGAACCUGGCUGUGUCCCCCCACCCUCUCUGCCAUCAGAGCGCGACACAGCGCGGCCCUCCACUCGCGGGGCUGUCCGCCUGCUUGGCCGGCCCGGCUCCCCACAGUCAGGGCCCGGCGCUAGACGGCGGAGCAGGAAGGCAGAGAAAGAUGCAGGCACGGACCCUGCCCACCUUCGAGUGCGCGCUCGGAGACCCACUCCGGAUUCCUUGAGUUAGUGUUUUUGAAGAAAUGUAUGGGAAGGGAAUGUAGGAAGAUUAAACGUGAGGAGGCAGAUUCAGGGGCUGGGCGCCAUCAGGGCAGCUCCUGGGUCCCUGAGCCGCCAUCAUGGCGGUUCCACUCCAGCCUGUGGGCCUCGUGUCACUGUCCACGGUUCAGAUCCGCAGGGGAGGAAAGGACUGCUGUCUUGGCCGCAUGUUAACCCCUGCACUGGGGAGGGGGUUGCAGUUUGACUGAAAGUCCCUUGUGCACCACAGUGGCAGGAACGGGGAGUCUCUCAGUGGACGCCUGAGGACCUGUCGUCGGAAGAAGAAGAGCACGCCAGCAGAGCAACCUCACAUGCCCUCCCAGAAUCCUACCUGCACCACGCCCCUCCAGCCCAGCCAGCCUGCCCCCACCCAAACAUCCCUCCCUCCUCGUCCUUGCUUGUGCUGGGAUCCCUCCUGGAAGGCUCCUCUCCCUGUCUGCCCCUCGACUUUCAUCGUCCUUCAAGACCCAGGCCUCUGUUUGGAUCACGGUGGACCGCAGGUUUCGUGUAAAUCCACUGGCGGCUUCCUGUGAACAUGGACCUUCACAGGCUGCACUAGGCCUGGUCCCAUUUCCUCCUCACCAUUUAUCAUUUCCUAACACUGAAAGACAGAAAAA